Non-coding RNA from Odocoileus virginianus texanus, 482 nucleotides. NCBI's taxonomy places the organism in Eukaryota, Metazoa, Chordata, Mammalia, Artiodactyla, Cervidae. The record is from RefSeq and is a predicted model, not a curated record.
UAAACUGCCCCCUCCCCCACCGCGCUCACGUUUCAACGGCCGCUGCCUCAGGUGGGUGGUGAUGUCAGACCCUUGACCCUUGACACAACCCCCUCCGCGCAACUGCCGGCCGAGGGUGCCGACUACGUCUCCCACGGACUCUCUUUGACCUUAACUCCUAGAGCGCAGCUAUUGCCUACGGCUUCUGACGCCCCCAUUUCCACAAGUUUUCUUGUUUCCUAACACUCACUUGUUAAUGUCAACUGCUAUCCUUGGUCCCUGACUCCCAGAACCCAGGUUUCAGGAACCAGUCCUAUGGAGAAGUAGCAGAUUCCAAAUUGGGGCACAAACCAAACACCUUGCCAUGCCCUCCAGCCAGGUCCCAGCUCUGAGAGGGGCUGCUGAGGCCCAUUCCUCACCCCUUCAGGACAGUGAUCUUUGCUGCGUUAGGAACUGAGACUUCUACUGAUGCAAUGCUGUUCCCAGACCUAGAGACUGUCAGU